CAUAUGCUUGUCUGAAAGACUAAGCCAUGCAUGUGCAAGCGAAGCUUGAAAAAGUGGAACCGCGAAUGGCUCAUUAAAUCAGUUACUAUCUAUUAGUUGAUUUGCCUGCUAAAUGAAUAACUGCGGUAACCCUGCAGCUAAUGCAUGCUGAUUGUCCGGCACUGUCGGAGACUUUUACAAGACUACACCGGGUGAUUUGCUAAGUACUGACACAUACCGUGAUGAGUCCUAGUAACUGAAAGAUCCCAGAUAGCUUCGGCUUGGGGACGGAACUUCCGAAUUUCUGACCUAUCAACCUAUGAUGGUAGUGUAACGGACUACCAUGGUUGUGACGGGUAACGGGGAAUCAGGGUUCGAUUCCGGAGAGGGAGCCUUAGAAACGGCUACCACAUCCAAGGAAGGCAGCAGGCACGCAAAUUACCCACUCUCCGCACGAGGAGGUAGUGACUAGAAAUAAUGAUAUGAACCUUUAUGGUUUGUAAUCAGAAUGGAAUGGACUUAAAAGCUCCAUUGAUGAACGAGUAGAGGGCAAGUCUGGUGCCAGCAGCCGCGGUAAUACCAGCCUCUACAAGCGUAUGCAAUAGUUGCUGCGUUUAAAAAGCUCAUAGUUGGAUCUGUUUGAGUAGAACGGUAACAUGGUCUUCAGUUAAAUCUGUUGACUCGUU
Molecule: ribosomal RNA, 665 nt
Filed under: Convolutriloba longifissura
Lineage: Eukaryota; Metazoa; Xenacoelomorpha; Acoela; Convolutidae
Also listed under: 1 other name
Description: SSU rRNA
Rfam family: Eukaryotic small subunit ribosomal RNA
Source: RNAcentral